This 1775-nucleotide long non-coding RNA is filed under the name Homo sapiens (human). Its description in RNAcentral is "HSALNT0380819". The record is from RNAcentral. Lineage: Eukaryota; Metazoa; Chordata; Mammalia; Primates; Hominidae.
CUCUGUCUCAAAAGAAAAAAAAAAACAUAGUAAACAGGGAUGGGUACUAACUUUUACAGAGAAACCUAAUGUGCAAUGAGUGUAUGAGGGGGGAUGGUUAGAUGCGUUGGCUCUGGAAUGAGACUGCAAGCCCAUUUCUUACUUCCAAACAUGUGUAAGCAUUAAUUAAAAAUAUUAAAUAUUUGGAUACCCAUCUCUCUAAUAAUCAAGUUUCUUACUUCCUGACUUAGCAUUCAAGCUGUACACCCACUGGCCCAUGAACUAAAAACGUUUUUUCAUUUAGGCAUUAGAAACAGAUGUAGAGCUGAAUAUUGAACCUAUUUAGAUGAUUUUGACUUGGAACAGAAGAUAUUCUGCUAAAAAACUAUUCUUAAACCCAACAAGAGAGGCUGUUCCUUCACAGGUAGAAUAGUAAACUCAUGUCUCUCAUAAAGAGAAUUUGUAAGUGGCCUUUCCCGCCAACCAUUGAGACCACAGUCACAUUUAAAUCGUUUCAUCAAAUGAGGGAAUUUUCUUAUGAGACAAAUUCUAAGCACUCAGGCCAUGCUACAGUGAGUUUUUCAAGGGAGACCACGUUUCCCAGGUGUUUGGGGGCUCUUGUGCAUCUAUUUAGGGACUCAGAAAUAACUUACUUCAGGCACGAACUUAUAAAGAAUGUCUUCACAAUCCAAAUGCAACUUGAAUCACAAAAAAAUUAAAGUAUCUUUUUUUAAAUCUCAAGACAUUAGAGAUCUAAAUUAAAUUGAAGAAACACACAUUCACAAUGCUUGAGUUUUGUUGCCAGCCUUUAUUUGAUAAUGCUGCCAAAUAUACCUUAUUUUAGAAGAGCAUUGUGAGAUAGCAGAGAGAUGAAAGUUAGACAAAGAACAAUGCUGCCAUGGAAAAGGCAACUGUGUGCUCAUCACCCCUGCCCAGUGGUGACAGGUGGACACCUGGGUAGGAACGCUGCUGCUGGUUGGCUGGUAGGAGGUGCUGCAGAGAGACCCCUACCUGACUGUCAUCCUCUCUCAGUGGCGAGUCCAUCUAGUUCAGACUCAGACAGGUGGAAGAAGUCAACUCCUAACUAGGGUAUAAUGAAGCAUGAUGGAAGUAUUUGACCCAGCGGCUCUUCUAUACCCAGGAGGCCCUGACUGCCACAUUCACCAGUUGAUUUUCCAGGGAACAUAAUCAGAGGCAGAAUCGUCUGGUGGUUAAAAGUACAAUCUGGAGUUAGACUGCUUGAUUUUCAAUCCCAGCUCUUCCACUCAUCAGCUUUGUUAUCUUAGGCAAGUAACUUAAUAUCACUUGGCUUUGUGUUCCUCAUCUCUAAAGGAAAAUCUACAACAUAUGCUUAUUUGCGAGGCGGGGUAGGGGGCCAUGGGGUUGAGUUAACCUAUGUGAGUCAGUUAGUGUAGUGUCUAGAACAAAAGAAAUGCUCCAAAAUUCUUGGCUAUCCUCAUCAACACCUUCAUUUCUUCCAUCCAUUUCUAAAUACAGCCAUUUUCUCAGGGCCAGGUAACUAGAUUGAAGCAGAGUCCAUGAAGAACUAACCAUGCCUCACUCCACCCCUGCAGAUGGCUCCUUCAUGAAGAUCUCCCCAUUUGGAACACAACAUCUGUUUCCUGCUGGGACCCUGACUGACACAAGGGUCAAAAUAAGCUCCUCCAUGGGAAGCAUUGAGAGAGGCAGAAAAUAAAGAGAAGGAAGAUAAUACUAUCCAUUCAUUGCAGUCGUCUAUGUGCUAAACACUGUGUGAAGCAUUUUGCAUGUAUUCAAUAAAUAUUUACUCAAUGCUU